UUUCCGUAGGUGAACCUGCGGAAGGAUCAUUGUCGAAACCUGCAAGGCAGAACGACCCGAGAACAAGUGAAGGCCAUCGCGGGCGUCGGUCUCCGGGGCCGGUCGCCCGAAGUCCGGGGAGAGGGCGGUGGGCAACUACGGCCCCUCUACCGCGGGCACAAACAACGAACCCCGACGCGAAUUGCGUCAAGGAAACGGAAAAGAGAUGUGCGACGAUUCCCUCGUCCCGGAAACGGUGUCGCGGGGGGUCUUGGUCGCCGUCGAUAACAUAGACGAAACGACUCUCGGCAACGGAUAUCUCGGCUCUCGCAUCGAUGAAGAACGUAGCGAAAUGCGAUACUUGGUGUGAAUUGCAGAAUCCCGUGAACCAUCGAGUUUUUGAACGCAAGUUGCGCCCGAAGCCGUCAGGCCGAGGGCACGCCUGCCUGGGUGUCACGCAAAGUCGCCACGAAUCCCCUCGGCCCCUUUCGCGGGGAACGCCGAGGGAUGGCGGAGAUUGGCCUCCCGUGGGCUCUGGCUCGCGGUUGGCCCAAAAGAUGGCCCCCCGGCGACGGCAGCCGCGGCACACGGUGGUUGGCAGCGGUAGCUCCUCUAACACCGUCGUGGGCGAGCCUCGUCGAUGGGGUGCGAAAGGCCCCGACGCAAGCGUCCCCAAAAAGCGACCC
This 665-nucleotide ribosomal RNA is filed under the name Tricerma texanum. RNAcentral describes it as "eukaryotic LSU rRNA". The stretch from base 280 to 435 matches the Rfam family "5.8S ribosomal RNA". The record is from RNAcentral. Lineage: Eukaryota; Viridiplantae; Streptophyta; Magnoliopsida; Celastrales; Celastraceae.